This 400-nucleotide long non-coding RNA is filed under the name Elaeis guineensis (African oil palm). RNAcentral describes it as "long non-coding RNA (EGUI_LNC027157)". Lineage: Eukaryota; Viridiplantae; Streptophyta; Magnoliopsida; Arecales; Arecaceae. The record is from RNAcentral.
GCUAGCAACUAAAAUACUGUAAUUUUUAAUAAAAAUUUACUUUUUAAUAUGAUAUAAAAUUUAAAAUUUUAUUUUAUUUAUAAAUAUUCAAAAAAUAUAAAAAUAAUUUAAUUUUAUAAUUUUUUAUAAUAAUAAUUAUUAUUUUAAGGGCGAGUGACCAUUUGCGGAAUAAUCACUUGAGAAAGCCAUUAACGGGCCUAAAGAAUUUCUUGCUCCCGCUUCUUCAUCUGCGCUCGUAAAAUAUUACACGUGUGAUGCAUAGAUAUAAUUCUUGACAAUAAAUUUUUAAAGAACUUUGACAAAAAAAAGGAAAAAAGAGAUCCAACUUUAAGAAAAGAACACUACCGCAGUUACUGAGGAGGUGGGAAUUGGAUGCAGGAAGGAAAUCCAGUCUUUAAGC